Molecule: ribosomal RNA, 304 nt
Filed under: uncultured bacterium
Lineage: Bacteria
Description: partial 16S ribosomal RNA
Rfam family: Bacterial small subunit ribosomal RNA
Source: RNAcentral
CAGCAGCAGCCGCGGUAAAACGUAGGGUGCAAGCGUUAAUCGGAAUUACUGGGCGUAAAGCGUGCGCAGGCGGUUAUAUAAGUCAGAUGUGAAAUCCCCGGGCUCAACCUGGGAACUGCAUUUGAGACUGUAUGGCUAGAGUGUGUCAGAGGGGGGUAGAAUUCCACGUGUAGCAGUGAAAUGCGUAGAUAUGUGGAGGAAUACCGAUGGCGAAGGCAGCCCCCUGGGAUAACACUGACGCUCAUGCACGAAAGCGUGGGGAGCAAACAGGAUUAGAUACCCCAGUAGUCCCUGUCUCUUAUAC